This 501-nucleotide ribosomal RNA is filed under the name uncultured bacterium. Its description in RNAcentral is "partial 16S ribosomal RNA". It matches the Rfam family "Bacterial small subunit ribosomal RNA", at positions 30 to 523 of the family's 1533-position model. The record is from RNAcentral.
AUUGAACGCUGGCGGCAGGCUUAACACAUGCAAGUCGAGCGGAGAGAGGUAGCUUGCUACUGAUCUUAGCGGCGGACGGGUGAGUAAUGCUUAGGAAUCUGCCUAUUAGUGGGGGACAACAUUUCGAAAGGAAUGCUAAUACCGCAUACGUCCUACGGGAGGAAGCAGGGGAUCUUCGGACCUUGCGCUAAUAGAUGAGCCUAAGCCGGAUUAGCUAGUUGGUGGGGUAAAGGCCUACCAAGGCGACGAUCUGUAGCGGGUCUGAGAGGAUGAUCCGCCACACUGGGACUGAGACACGGCCCAGACUCCUACGGGAGGCAGCAGUGGGGAAUAUUGGACAAUGGGCGCAAGCCUGAUCCAGCCAUGCCGCGUGUGUGAAGAAGGCCUUAUGGUUGUAAAGCACUUUAAGCGUGGAGGAGGCUACUUUAGUUAAUACCUAGAGAUAGUGGACGUUACUCGCAGAAUAAGCACCGGCUAACUCUGUGCCAGCAGCCGCCGUAA